Molecule: ribosomal RNA, 709 nt
Filed under: uncultured Rothia sp.
Lineage: Bacteria; Bacillati; Actinomycetota; Actinomycetes; Micrococcales; Micrococcaceae
Description: bacterial SSU rRNA
Rfam family: Bacterial small subunit ribosomal RNA
Source: RNAcentral
UCGAACGAUGAAGCGGUGCUUGCACCGUGGAUUAGUGGCGAACGGGUGAGUAAUACGUGAGUGACCUACCUUUGACUCUGGGAUAAGCCUGGGAAACUGGGUCUAAUACCGGAUACGACCAAUCUCUGCAUGGGGUGUUGGUGGAAAGCGUUAUGGAGUGGUUUUAGAUGGGCUCACGGCCUAUCAGCUUGUUGGUGAGGUAAUGGCUUACCAAGGCGAUGACGGGUAGCCGGCCUGAGAGGGUGACCGGCCACACUGGGACUGAGACACGGCCCAGACUCCUACGGGAGGCAGCAGUGGGGAAUAUUGCACAAUGGGCGCAAGCCUGAUGCAGCGACGCCGCGUGAGGGAUGACGGCCUUCGGGUUGUAAACCUCUGUUAGCAUCGAAGAAGCGAAAGUGACGGUAGGUGCAGAGAAAGCGCCGGCUAACUACGUGCCAGCAGCCGCGGUAAUACGUAGGGCGCGAGCGUUGUCCGGAAUUAUUGGGCGUAAAGAGCUUGUAGGCGGUUGGUCGCGUCUGCUGUGAAAGGCUGGGGCUUAACCCUGGUUUUGCAGUGGGUACGGGCUAACUAGAGUGCAGUAGGGGAGACUGGAAUUCCUGGUGUAGCGGUGGAAUGCGCAGAUAUCAGGAGGAACACCGAUGGCGAAGGCAGGUCUCUGGGCUGUAACUGACGCUGAGAAGCGAAAGCAUGGGGAGCGAACAGGAUU